CGUGGUGUGGAUCGUUUUCGUUUGGUUAAAGGAUUGCAGGCUUUCUUUUUUAAACAGUCUACAAACUAUUCUGAGUACACGAUGCGAACUUAGCACCCGUGUCAGGUCAUUUACUUCUUAAGAUAACCCUGGUUAUUGUAUUCUUUGUCGUUUUAGAGGAGGAAACCGAGACAGAGAGGUUAAAUAACUUAGAUAAGUGAGCUGGGAUUGGACCCAGGGACGUCGUUUUCAAGAGUAUGGGGCCUCCUUACAGAGCAAAUUGUGCAAAGACUUAGAAGCGUUUUCUAGUUAUGCAUGAGUUGUUGCUUGAGUUGUAAACAACUUGUGUUGGCUCGUGAGGGGAAUUAAACUUCGAGAUAAAAUAAAAGCAGAUUUAUGAAAAUAUGCAUCGCUUUGAUACUGUCUUGGAAUUCAUGAGAUGGAAGCAUAGGUCAAAGCUGUUUGGAGAAAAUUGGAACUACAGUUUUAUCUAGCCACAUCUCUGAGGAGUCUGAAGAAAGCAGCAGGUGAAAAGUCCUUGUCAAGUGAUUUCGUUCUUCUAUAAGGAAAUCUCAUUCAGUAAAGCCAUUGAAAUUAGUUAAAUAGCUC
Acomys russatus (golden spiny mouse) is the source of this 588-nucleotide long non-coding RNA. RefSeq lists it as uncharacterized. Lineage: Eukaryota; Metazoa; Chordata; Mammalia; Rodentia; Muridae. The transcript is spliced from 3 exons. The record is from RefSeq and is a predicted model, not a curated record.